This 253-nucleotide ribosomal RNA is filed under the name uncultured bacterium. RNAcentral's name for it is "partial 16S ribosomal RNA". It matches the Rfam family "Bacterial small subunit ribosomal RNA", at positions 524 to 776 of the family's 1533-position model. The record is from RNAcentral. RNAcentral also lists the same sequence under 1 other name.
GACGAACCGUGCGAACGUUGUUCGGAUUCACUGGGCUUAAAGGGCGCGUAGGCGGGUGACCAAGUCCGGGGUGAAAUCUUUCGGCCCAACCGGAAAAGUGCCUUGGAUACUGGUCGUCUGGAGGGAGGUAGGGGCACGCGGAACUUCCGGUGGAGCGGUGAAAUGCGUAGAUAUCGGAAGGAACGCCGGUGGCGAAAGCGGCGUGCUGGACCUCUUCUGACGCUGAGGCGCGAAAGCCAGGGGAGCAAACGGG